AGUUUAUGAACUUGUAUAAGUGUAUGUUUUGAAAACAUAACAAAGAGAUAAAAUUCUCUAUUAACUU
Molecule: transfer RNA, 67 nt
Filed under: Cyllorhynchites ursulus
Lineage: Eukaryota; Metazoa; Arthropoda; Insecta; Coleoptera; Attelabidae
Description: tRNA-Ser
Source: RNAcentral